GGGCCUAUAGUUCAGUGGUAGAACACCUCAUUUGCAAUGAGGAAGCGCGAGUUCGAUUCUCGCUAGGUCCACAA
This is a transfer RNA of 74 nucleotides. It matches the Rfam family "tRNA". From Rfam's summary of the family: Transfer RNA (tRNA) molecules are approximately 80 nucleotides in length. Their secondary structure includes four short double-helical elements and three loops (D, anti-codon, and T loops).